This 84-nucleotide non-coding RNA is filed under the name human gut metagenome. RNAcentral describes it as "Glycine riboswitch". It matches the Rfam family "Glycine riboswitch aptamer", at positions 9 to 86 of the family's 94-position model. Rfam says of the family: This family represents the bacterial glycine riboswitch. Glycine riboswitches usually consist of two metabolite-binding aptamers domains with similar structures in tandem. RNAcentral also lists the same sequence under 1 other name. The record is from RNAcentral.
GAGCUUUGGAGAAUCCCGUGUUUUAAUCGGGUGCCGAAGGGGCAAGGCGGUUUUCCGCUAAUCUCUCAGGCAAAAGGACAAAGU